CAGAACCUGGUUGAUCCUGCCAGUAGUCAUAUGCUUGUCUCAAAGAUUAAGCCAUGCAUGUCUUAGUGUAAAUAACUCUUAUGAAACUGCGAAUGGCUCAUUAAAUCAGUUAUCAAAUACGUGAUGGUCGCCUACUACAUGGAUAACCGUAGUAAUUCUAGAGCUAAUACAUGCACAAAAGGUCCCACGUCAACG
Molecule: ribosomal RNA, 195 nt
Filed under: uncultured eukaryote
Lineage: Eukaryota
Description: partial 18S ribosomal RNA
Rfam family: Eukaryotic small subunit ribosomal RNA
Source: RNAcentral